This 638-nucleotide ribosomal RNA is filed under the name Bacillus sp. 19ox. Its description in RNAcentral is "bacterial SSU rRNA". It matches the Rfam family "Bacterial small subunit ribosomal RNA", at positions 99 to 726 of the family's 1533-position model. Lineage: Bacteria; Bacillati; Bacillota; Bacilli; Caryophanales; Bacillaceae. The record is from RNAcentral.
CGGACGGGUGAGURASACGUGBGCAACCUGCCUGUAAGACUGGGAUAACUCCGGGAAACCGGAGCUAAUACCGGAUAGUAUCUUGAACCGCAUGGKUCAAGUUGGAAAGACGGUUUCGGCUGUSACUKACAGAUGGGCCCGCGGCGCAUUAGCUAGUUGGUGAGGUAAUNGCUCACCAAGGCAACGAUGCGUAGCCGACCUGAGAGGGUGAUCGGCCACACUGGGACUGAGACACGGCCCAGACUCUACGGGAGGCAGCAGUAGGGAAUCUUCCGCAAUGGACGAAAGUCUGACGGAGCAACGCCGCGUGAGUGAUGAAGGUUUUCGGAUCGUAAAACUCUGUUGUUAGGGAAGAACAAGUGCGAGAGUAACUGCUCGCACCUUGACGGUACCUAACCAGAAAGCCACGGCUAACUACGUGCCAGCAGCCGCGGUAAUACGUAGGUGGCAAGCGUUGUCCGGAAUUAUUGGGCGUAAAGCGCGCGCAGGCGGUUUCUUAAGUCUGAUGUGAAAGCCCCCGGCUCAACCGGGGAGGGUCAUUGGAAACUGGGAAACUUGAGUGCAGAAGAGGAGAGUGGAAUUCCACGUGUAGCGGUGAAAUGCGUAGASAUGUGGAGGAACACCAGUGCGAAGCGACU